CCCCUUCGUCUAGUCAGGUCCAGGACACCAGGUUCUCAUCCUGGUAACAGGGGUUCGAAUCCCCUAGGGGUCAUUCCA
This 78-nucleotide transfer RNA is filed under the name Phycisphaerae bacterium. RNAcentral describes it as "tRNA-Glu". It matches the Rfam family "tRNA". Rfam says of the family: Transfer RNA (tRNA) molecules are approximately 80 nucleotides in length. Their secondary structure includes four short double-helical elements and three loops (D, anti-codon, and T loops). Further hydrogen bonds mediate the characteristic L-shaped molecular structure. tRNAs have two regions of fundamental functional importance: the anti-codon, which is responsible for specific mRNA codon recognition, and the 3' end, to which the tRNAs corresponding amino acid is attached (by aminoacyl-tRNA synthetases). tRNAs cope with the degeneracy of the genetic code in two manners: having more than one tRNA (with a specific anti-codon) for a particular amino acid; and 'wobble' base-pairing, i.e. permitting non-standard base-pairing at the 3rd anti-codon position. The record is from RNAcentral. Lineage: Bacteria; Pseudomonadati; Planctomycetota; Phycisphaerae.